Long non-coding RNA from Gymnodraco acuticeps, 1570 nucleotides. RefSeq lists it as uncharacterized. NCBI's taxonomy places the organism in Eukaryota, Metazoa, Chordata, Actinopteri, Perciformes, Bathydraconidae. The transcript has 4 exons. The record is from RefSeq and is a predicted model, not a curated record.
CACUGAUUUAGAGGAGAGAGGAGUGUCUCUAGAGGAGCUAUAACCGAGGGUCAAGGGUUGCCACUUAGACCAGCAGAAGAAAAGCACAUGUGACACUGGAUCCCGGCAGGGCUAAUGGUCAUUACUCGACAGAGCAGCCUGUGAAUGGCCCCGGACCUAACCUCAUCACUCAGUGUUGACCUCAACUCUUGUCUGACGACCCCGCCGCCCUUAGACCUGCUGCUGGAGGUUCAGAAACCCACUUCCUGCUACUUCAUCUCAAGGUGCUUCGACACACACCACCACACAAACAGGAAACAGCCCUCUUUUGUGUCCCUCAAACUGCAUGCAGUGUACAUUCUUCUGUAUCAGUGCAGCAAAGUGUGCUUUAGUCAUACUUACCUGGUUUAGGUUGAUAUUUGGAAACCUUUCUAUUAUAUUUGUAGGACAAAAUGUUGAGAAUUGAUUCACUUUGACACAAACUAGGCUUGCACGUUUAAUAAAAGGUGAUCAAAUAUGAGCAAAAGUUUAUUUACCGAACAAUGUCUAUAGAUUAAAAACAUAUUCAUUCAGUCAGCCAAAAAACGUUUACACAGGUAGAGAAAUGUGCAGAUUUUCUCCAUUCAUAGUAAUGUUACUUAAGGGUGCGUUCACACCUGCCUUGUAUAGUCCGGUUGAAUCGAACCCUGGUGCGUUUAGCCGCUUGGUGCGGUUCAUUUGGGUCGGUGUGAACACAGUCCGAGACCUCUUAAUGUCUGACCAAUGGUUGAACAGCAUUUCCGUGCACAUGACUUGUGUUUAAAGUUUAUAGUCCGUUUGAACGAACCGAACCUUCUGAAAAAUGAAACAAUGUAACAAACGGUGUGCACCAGAGAAGCAGACUAUUAGGUGUGAAUGCACCCUUAGUCAGCUAUAUCUUAAUUCCUGACCCCUGUGUGAACACUUUCUUCAUAACAAAUGCACUGUUGCAAUAAGGUAUUCUUUUGUUAUUUCUUCACUACUAUUAAAAGGUUACACAUGUGUAGUAAUUGAUUCUGAAAGCUGCUUUUCUACAACUCACUUUUAUUGUAUUGAAUUGUUCCUUCGUCUUCCAAGUGUGUUGUUGAUACAAUGCAGUGAGGAUUUAAUGAGCAGUAUGUCAUGAAUUCAGUUUGUUGUCCACAUGUAGUUGUAUUUUUAGACAACUUAUCUGUUUUAAUUGACCGGUAGGGGAUGUAACAGGGAGGCAGCUUGUUGAUAGAUGGGGUGAUGGAUCGGGGCGGGGGUGUUGUUUGUGGAGGGAGUAAAGGAACAAGACAACCAUCUAAGCUCCAGGUUCUCUGAAGCAACACAGAGGCCUCCACGGGUCAGCUGUGAGGGGUCAGCACCCACCAUUGUGUGGAGGGAAGGGAGUUCCUGUUCCGGCUCAUUUUUGCAAUCUGAGAGAAUAUAAACAUGGACGCACAGAAGUGUCCGGAGAGCGAAAGCAGAAGCAGUGCGGAUGCUGACUGCAGUGUAUGAAGGGGAAGCUGCAGUGUGUUGUUACUGAAAUCAAAUACCACUGCUUAUAUCAAAGGCAAAAUAGAUUUAUUUAUCUAUGUACACAUUUAUA